GAGGGUAGAACUCAGUAGCAGAGCACAUGCUUAGCAUGCACGAAGUUCUGGGUUCAAUCCCCAGUACCUCCA
RNAcentral lists this transfer RNA (72 nucleotides) under Camelus bactrianus (Bactrian camel). It matches the Rfam family "tRNA". Rfam says of the family: Transfer RNA (tRNA) molecules are approximately 80 nucleotides in length. Lineage: Eukaryota; Metazoa; Chordata; Mammalia; Artiodactyla; Camelidae. RNAcentral also lists the same sequence under 2 other names. The record is from Rfam by way of RNAcentral.